CACGCCUCACCGAGCGCGUCAUGGGGAUCGACCAGACCGGCGCUCCGGUCGAGAUCAGCGUACCGGUCGAGCGUCCGCUGACCCUCUAUCUGAACUCGCAAGAGAUCGUCACCAUGAUGACGAUCAACGACUAUCCGGAAUAUCUCGCGCUCGGCUAUCUCCUUAACCAGAAUAUGCUGAAGCUCGACGAUAUCGUGACCGAGGUGGUCUACGACGACGAUCUCCAGGUCGUGGUCGUCUACACCGAGCGCGGCACCAACUUUGAAGAGAAGCUGAAGAAGAAAACGCUCACCUCCGGCUGCGCACAAGGCACAGCCUUCGGCGACCUUAUGGAGGCGAUCGAA
Molecule: unclassified non-coding RNA, 344 nt
Filed under: Hevea brasiliensis (rubber tree)
Lineage: Eukaryota; Viridiplantae; Streptophyta; Magnoliopsida; Malpighiales; Euphorbiaceae
Source: RNAcentral